This 396-nucleotide ribosomal RNA is filed under the name uncultured bacterium. Its description in RNAcentral is "bacterial SSU rRNA". It matches the Rfam family "Bacterial small subunit ribosomal RNA", at positions 335 to 717 of the family's 1533-position model. The record is from RNAcentral.
ACUCCUACGGGAGGCAGCAGUGGGGAAUAUUGCACAAUGGGGGGAAACCCUGAUGCAGCCAUGCCGCGUGUGUGAAGAAGGCCCUUGGGUUGUAAAGCACUUUCAGUAGGGAGGAAGGUAGUGUAGUUAACACCUGCAUUAUUUGUACGUUACCUACAGAAGAAGCACCGGCUAACUCCGUGCCAGCAGCCGCGGUAAGUACGGAGGGUGCGAGCGUUAAUCGGAAUUACUGGGCGUAAAGCGCAUGCAGGCGGCCUGUAAGUCAGAUGUGAAAGCCCGGGGUCUUAACCUCGGAAUUGCAUUUGAAACUGGCGAGGCUAGAGUCUUGUAGGAGGGGUUAGAAUUUCAGGUGUAGCGGUGAAAUGCGUAGAGAUCGUGAAGGAAUACCGAGUGGCG